GGACGAACGCUGGCGGCACGCCUAACACAUGCAAGUCGAACGGAGAUUGAGAGCUUGCUCUUAAAUCUAGUGGCGGACGGGUGAGUAACACGUGAGCAACCUGCCUCUGAGAGAGGGAUAGCUUCUGGAAACGGAUGGUAAUACCUCAUAACAUUACAUGACCGCAUGAUCGUGUAAUCAAAGAUUUAUCACUCAGAGAUGGGCUCGCGUCUGAUUAGCUAGUUGGUGAGGUAACGGCCCACCAAGGCGACGAUCAGUAGCCGGACUGAGAGGUUGAACGGCCACAUUGGGACUGAGACACGGCCCAGACUCCUACGGGAGGCAGCAGUGAGGGAUAUUGCACAAUGGAGGAAACUUCCUGAUGCAGCGAUGCCGCGUGGAGGAAGAAGGUUUUCGGAUUGUAAACUCCUGUUUCGAGGGACGAUAAUGACGGUACCUCGGGAGGAAGCUCCGGCUAACUACGUGCCAGCCGCCGC
Molecule: ribosomal RNA, 476 nt
Filed under: uncultured bacterium
Lineage: Bacteria
Description: bacterial SSU rRNA
Rfam family: Bacterial small subunit ribosomal RNA
Source: RNAcentral